UCUCCGUAGGUGAACCUGCGGAGGGAUCAUUACCGAGCUCAUGCCCUUACGGGUAGAUCUCCCACCCUGUGUUAUUAUUACCUUUGUUGCUUUGGCGGGCCGCCAGGCUCCGGUCAGGCUAUCGGCUUCGGCUGGUAAGCGCCCGCCAGAGGACCCUAUAUCCUGAUUAUUAGUGUCGUCUGAGUACUAUAUAAUAGUUAAAACUUUCAACAACGGAUCUCCUGGUUCUG
This 230-nucleotide unclassified non-coding RNA is filed under the name plant metagenome. Its description in RNAcentral is "partial contains small subunit ribosomal RNA, internal transcribed spacer 1, and 5.8S ribosomal RNA". The record is from RNAcentral.